AAAAGGUUUGGUCCUAGCCUUAUUAUUGAUUGUCAGUAAGAUUAUACAUGCAAGUAUCCGCUAGCCAGUGAAAAUGCCCUUUUACUCGCUCUACCUUGAACGAUCCUUAAGGAGCCGGCAUCAAGCACACAACUGUAGCUCAAAACGCCUUGCUUAGCCACACCCCCACGGGAUACAGCAGUAAUAAAAAUUUAGCUAUGAACGAAAGUUUGACUAAGCUAUACUGAUGAGGGUUGGUCAAUCUCGUGCCAGCCACCGCGGUCAUACGAUUAACCCAAGUCAAUAAGAUUCGGCGUAAAGUGUGGUUAAAAUGUAAGUAUAAUAAAGUUAAAUUAGCUCUCCGCUGUAAAAAGCUAAAGAUCUAAAGUAAAUAAACUACAAAAGUGACUUUACUAAAUAAUGAGACCACGAUAGCUGAGACCCAAACUGGGAUUAGAUACCCCACUAUGCUCAGCCCUAAACUAUGGUAUUUAGUAACAAAAAUGCCCGCCAGAGAACUACAAGCAAGCGCUUAAAACUCAAAGGACUUGGCGGUGCUUCAUAUCCCACUAGAGGAGCCUGUUACAUAAUCGAUAAACCCCGAUACACCCUACCAUCACUUGCUAAACCAGUCUAUAUACCGCCAUCUUCAGCAAACCCUUAAAAGGAACAACAGUAAGCUUAAAUGUAUUCACAAAAACGUUAGGUCAAGGUGUAACCUAUGUGAUGGAGUAUAAUGGGCUACAUUUUCUUAAUAAGAACAAACGAACUUCCAUAUGAAACUUAUGGAAUAAAGGAGGAUUUAGCAGUAAGUCAAGAAUAGAGUGCUUGACUGAAUCUGGCAAUGAAGCACGUACACACCGCCCGUCACCCUCCUCAAGUGACUAGAACCUAAAACCAUAUUUAUAUCCACAUGACAUGAGAGGAGACAAGUCGUAACAAGGUAAGCAUACUGGAAAGUGUGCUUGGAUUAUU
This 954-nucleotide non-coding RNA is filed under the name Elephantulus edwardii (Cape elephant shrew). RNAcentral's name for it is "12S ribosomal RNA". It matches the Rfam family "Bacterial small subunit ribosomal RNA". The record is from RNAcentral. Lineage: Eukaryota; Metazoa; Chordata; Mammalia; Macroscelidea; Macroscelididae.